Long non-coding RNA from Bubalus bubalis (water buffalo), 1361 nucleotides. RefSeq lists it as uncharacterized. NCBI's taxonomy places the organism in Eukaryota, Metazoa, Chordata, Mammalia, Artiodactyla, Bovidae. The transcript has 2 exons. The record is from RefSeq and is a predicted model, not a curated record.
AGGAGGUACUCGUUUGGCCGUUGGGCUACUUUUGUUCUGUGAGAAUAUAUAAGCUUCACCUGGAAAAGCCAGGCAGGGUUGUACGCAGUUAUGUUAUGUCUGCGGCUAUGGCUGUCUCAUCCAGAAUACUCCAGGAAAACAGGAAAGGUAUUCAAAUCAAUCUACAGACAGAACAAACACUGAUUCAGCUUUAUCUUGUUGGCUAGCAAAACUACUGAUGAAUGUGGGUGAAGGUCAGAUAGAAUUUUUUUUAAAAAAAAAAGAGCAGUAUCAUCCUCAGGGGGAGCUAUGAGGGGUCUGGAAGCAGGAGGCCAGUAAAGAUACAAUCAAGUAUCUGACAAUACAACCAAGUACUAGUAAUUGGCAGCGGGCACGAAAGGACAACCUGAAACAGAUCCAGGAACGUUUCUGAGGAAUCGCUGCAAAUGAGAAUUCAGAUAGAGGGAAGACCAUAACACAGAAGAAAGAAACAUCUCAGACGUUUAGAAAGUUAAAACGUGUCCUCAGUAUACAGAUUCAAGACCAGUUGGCCUGACAUUACUUCUCUUCUAGCAAAUGGUAGUAUUGGAUAUCUGCAGGGAGAGGAGAGAGGCUGCGCGGAAAGAUGGAGAAUCAUUCUGAGUAACCCUCCAAGAGCGUUCUCCAAGACCAGGCACUUACCACGGAUAUUCUCAGUGCACGGCCAAAUCCAGGCAUCAAGGAGAAUGGAGAUUUCUAAAGUCACAGAGACCUCCAUGACGGCCAGCCGUGGACGUGUGGGCGCGACGGCUGCUGUGCACCGCGCAGCCGUCCUGGAGUCCCUCCUGCAGAGGUCCUUGGAAAUGCAGCGAAAGACUUGAAGGUGAAGCGCCUUACCCCUCGUCACUUGCAACUUGCUGUUCGUGGAGAUGAAGAACUGGACUCUCUCCUCAAGGCUACAAUUGGUGGUGGCGUCAUUCCGCACAUCCACAAAUCUCUGAUUGGGAAGAAAGGACAACGGAAGACUGUCCACAGGAUGCCUGGGUUCCUCGUUAUCGCAGGACUCUAAACACUCUAACAGCGGCCCAGUGCUGGUGACUCCAGAGGACUGUCUCUCUGUGAAAAGCACAACUUCUGUCUUUUUAUAAUUCUAUUUGAGCAAGUUGGAAGUUUAAUUAGCCUUCCAACCAACCAAAUUUCUGCAUUGGAAUCUUAACCAUAUUUAAGUGCUGCUGUGGCUUCAAAGAAGCUAUUGAUUCUGAAGUAGUGGUUUUGAUUGAGUUGACUGUUUUAAAAAAACUGUUUGGAUUUUAAUUGUGAUGCAGAAGUUAUAGUAACAAACAUUUGGUUUUGUACAGACAUUAUUUCCACUCUGGUGGAUAAGCUCAAUAAAGGUCAUAUCC